Molecule: long non-coding RNA, 1492 nt
Filed under: Pongo abelii (Sumatran orangutan)
Lineage: Eukaryota; Metazoa; Chordata; Mammalia; Primates; Hominidae
Description: lincRNA
Source: RNAcentral
CUCUUUCGCUCCCUCCUUAGCCCGCUUCACUUCGUGGACUACGCCCGCCGGCUCCCAGCCUUUGAUGCCACAAGUAAACAAACCUCGCAUGUCGCCUUCUGCUGGGUCCUGGAGGUCUUGGAAGCCUGAUGAACUCGUCUUUUUCAGUUUCCUGGAACUCUCUGCUGUGGUCCUCGUGAUAAGAGUGACCUUUUUGGCCUGCUCUCCCCAGCUCUUUUCCAGUCCUCAUGCAGGGUAUCAGCAUUGCUGAGUGGCCUGCCCAGGAUGACACAACUGCCAGAACUCGGCCUGAGGUCUCCUAAUAACAAAUAAUCCCCCACUGGUCCCCACCCACUGGAGCACCUACUUGCCAGGCUCGUCAAGCAAAGAAGGAGAUCCACUCCAACGUCAUCUCCCAGGAGCCUUCUCUGCAGCGUCUCAGGUCCUGGCUCUCACCUCCUCAGCACCCAUCCCAUCCUGUGUCACUCUGUGUAUCAACCUCCCCAGCCAGCCUCCAGGCCACAAGCCAAGAGGUAUCAAGGGCUCCUCCCUGUCCUACUGGCCCCACAUCCACUGUGUCUAUCUGGUCAACUUUACCUUCCAAACAUUCCCUGCACUGUGAUAGAUGGCUGUGGCCCUGUCAUCUCUCACCUGAAAUUAACAAUGUAUCCUUGGGGCCUCCCACCCUCAUAUCUUGGCUCCUCCAGUCCCUUCUCUGCAAACAUGGAACAGUGGGAUUAUUAUAAAUCUCAGACCCGUUUUGCCCCUUUCCUGCCUGAGAGUUUUUGUGGUUCCCCACUGCCCUCAGAACAAAGCUCAAGACCCUUUGGCCUGGCACUCAAGGUCCUUUGUGCUGCCACCUGUCAACCUCCCCAGUUCCAGCUCUUUUGGUUUUGCCCAUACAAGCUGGAUCUGCACCAGAGGAUCUGUCUUCCUCCCAGCUUGGCCCUUACUCCUCCUAGGAGCCCUUUGGACGUCACCUCCCCCAGGAAGCUUUCUGCAACCACCCUACAACUGUCCCUAUAAACUUUAUAAAACCAAUUAGGGAAGAAGUAGGGGGGAAAGAUGAAAAUAAACCAAGCCUGCAGCACACUCAGCAUUCAUCAUGAGGUCAGCGGCUCUCUGACCUGCUUCCUCAUGGCUGGUUGGUGCCUGUUGUCCUGGAGUCACAAAGACCCUAGAUUAUAGCUGCCCUUAACUGCUGUAUAAAUAACAACUUGAACAUGAAAUGUUAAAUUUUCCUUUUGAAAUAUUCCUUCAGGUCCUGCAUGCUGAUAAAACUACUGACUCAGCUGGUCCCCAUGAGGAGCUGGCUCACCAAAGAAUGCGGUUUCCAAUCCCAAUUAUUUCAUGCCCCUUGCUCAGGCAAUCAACAAUCCCAAAUUUCCAGCCCCUUGCCCUCCACAAUCUCCUUAAAAAACCCAGCCCAAAACUCCUUGGGGAGAUGGAUUUGAAGGUCUCCUCCCAUCUCCAAACUUGGUGCCCUGCAGUCAUUAAACUCUUUCUCUGCUGC